GACAGAGGGUGCAAACGUUGCUCGGAUUUACUGGGCGUAAAGCGCAUGUAGGCGGGGAAAUAAGUCGGGUGUGAAAUCCCUGGGCUCAACCUAGGAACUGCAUCCGAAACUGUUUUUCUAGAGUGGUGGAGAGGAAAGCGGAAUUCCGGGUGUAGAGGUGAAAUUCGUAGAUAUCCGGAGGAACACCAGUGGCGAAGGCGGCUUUCUGGACACCAACUGACGCUGAGAUGCGAAAGCGUGGGGAGCAAACAGG
This 253-nucleotide ribosomal RNA is filed under the name uncultured bacterium. RNAcentral's name for it is "partial 16S ribosomal RNA". It matches the Rfam family "Bacterial small subunit ribosomal RNA", at positions 524 to 776 of the family's 1533-position model. The record is from RNAcentral.